GUUUUAGUGAACAAUAACAACAACCAUUUAGAAAGUCAUAAGGGUGAGUAAAUGACAGAAUUGGGUGAACUGUCUCUUUAAAUGCGCCCAAUAAAGACGGCAGUCCGGCUAAAAAACCAGCAGCGACAACGCCACAUAUGCUGGUUACUUGGGGUUUUUCAGCAGACAGUUCAAUUAACUUUAUCAUCCGCAGAGCUGCAGGAGAGACGACCACCACAACAGCAGCAGCAACAGCUAAACAAGCGUCCAGGGGCAUACGCUCAUGAUGCUAUCCAAAGCAAGAAGGUGUCGUGGCCUAUGAAAUUCGGCUCUCCGGACUGGACAAAAGUGCCAAUGCUGGAGAGAAGAGCACUGCGGACAGAGACUCUCCUGGGAUCCUCCGACCUCUCCUCCCUUGGUGUGGCCUGAACUCUGACACAUAACAUUCUUGAACUUCUCUCAAUCUAUCCCUCAGCAAGGCUAUCUAACCAUCAGUGUGAGGCAAGGGAAAACUCCACGACCCUCACAGCUGUGACAACACACGCCUUCGUGGGGCCAACACCAGAAAACACCCUGCUGCAGUGGUUGGAAGUGUGGAUAUAUAUGUGUGUGUUUAAUCUCUGACUUCUUGUGUCACACAAUCCCCCAACACACACACAUACAUACACUGCAUUUUCUACUGGAAAAACAGAUAUAGGUCUCUAAGUGUUUUAAAGAUCGGUGAGCAAAGGUAAAUGGUCAACAAAAAAGAAAGAAUUACAAUUUUAGACCCAAUAAUGAGCAUUAUUUCGCAGCUCUCUGGAAUAAUUGAUUCUGAUUGGUCAUGCGUGACAUUCCAAGGUUUGUUAUUCUGUGAUAACAAUGACCUAGAUGUACUUUUCCCA
Molecule: long non-coding RNA, 863 nt
Filed under: Danio rerio (zebrafish)
Lineage: Eukaryota; Metazoa; Chordata; Actinopteri; Cypriniformes; Danionidae
Description: lncRNA (ENSDARG00000117366.1)
Source: RNAcentral